UUUUCGUCUGUAGAAAAGAGGAUGAGAACCUCCGAAGGAGGUUUGAGCCGAGCGUAGCGAGACAACGUUGCUUCGUUGCUUCAGCAACGGCCCGAAGGGCACUGCUCGCAGAGCAGCGUCAUCCUCUCUCGCCGACCA
RNAcentral lists this small RNA (138 nucleotides) under Pantoea agglomerans. RNAcentral's name for it is "RtT sRNA". It matches the Rfam family "RtT RNA". Rfam says of the family: This family represents a bacterial cis-regulatory element known as RtT RNA. The exact function of RtT is unknown although it is thought that it may be involved in changing the cellular response in relation to amino acid starvation. Lineage: Bacteria; Pseudomonadati; Pseudomonadota; Gammaproteobacteria; Enterobacterales; Erwiniaceae. The record is from RNAcentral.